This 759-nucleotide ribosomal RNA is filed under the name Triticum aestivum (bread wheat). RNAcentral's name for it is "partial small subunit ribosomal RNA". Lineage: Eukaryota; Viridiplantae; Streptophyta; Magnoliopsida; Poales; Poaceae. The record is from RNAcentral.
AUGCAGCUAGUUUGUACCAGGAACACGACCAUUAAUAUCAAUGGCGAGGUGGGACCUUACUUUAGGUCCUCUAGGGGAGUGAAACAAGGGGACCCCAUCUCACCUCUUCUCUUCAACCUAGCGGUUAAUGCCCUUGUUGGCAUCUUAGACAAGGAUACGUUGGCCGGCCACCUAACAAAGGUGGUUAGUCACUUGAUCCCUGGUGGUCAUGUCACCCAUCUGCAAUACACGGAUGCCACCAUGAUUAUGGUGGAGGGAUCGGACAUGGACAUAGUUAAUCUUAAGUUCCUACUUCUAUGCUUUGAGGCUAUGUCGGGACUUAAGAUUAACUUAGACAAGAGCGACGUAGUGGUCCUGGGAUUCUCUGCAGAAGAUCAACAGAGGAUUGUGGACAACCUUAACUGUAAACUUGCGUCCUUCCCCAUGGCUUAUCUAGGGAUGCCAAUGUCUGACUCCAGGAUCUUGACGACGGAGUUCGACCCGCUCGAUGGACGAGUAGCGUCCUGUGCGGAGCCAUGGUGUGGACGGUUCACUUCCAAAGGAAGCAAAACCGUCCUCAUCAGCUCCAACUUUUCCAUCCUCCCCAUGUAUAUGAUGGGGAUGUAUACCCUGCCGGAGGAUGUCCAUGCUUCCUUCGAUAAGGAGUUGGCAAGGUUCUUAUGGCAAGCUGCUGAUGGCCGUCCAAAGUACCACAUGGUCAAGUGGGCGGACAUUUGUCUACCUAAGGAUCGGGGUGGGCUAGGCAUCAUGGCCUCUUGA